RNAcentral lists this ribosomal RNA (430 nucleotides) under uncultured bacterium. Its description in RNAcentral is "bacterial SSU rRNA". It matches the Rfam family "Bacterial small subunit ribosomal RNA", at positions 355 to 776 of the family's 1533-position model. The record is from RNAcentral.
CGAGGAAUAUUGCGCAAUGGGGGCAACCCUGACGCAGCAACGCCGCGUGAGUGAGGAAGGUUUUCGGACCGUAAAGCUCUGUCGAGCGGGAAGAAAUGCAUGGUGGCUAAUAUCCAUCAUGCUUGACGGUACCGCUAAAGGAAGCACCGGCUAACUCCGUGCCAGCAGCCGCGGUAAUACGGGGGGUGCGAGCGUUGUUCGGAAUUAUUGGGCGUAAAGAGCGUGUAGGCGGCCGAAUAAGUCAGAUGUGAAAUCCCUGGGCAUAACCCAGGACGUGCAUUUGAAACUAUUCGGCUAGAGUAGGGGAGAGGAAAGUGGAAUUCCUGGUGUAGAGGUGAAAUUCGUAGAUAUCAGGAGGAACACCGGAGGCGAAGGCGACUUUCUGGCCCUAUACUGACGCUGAGACGCGAGAGCGUGGGUAGCAAACAGG